Molecule: long non-coding RNA, 873 nt
Filed under: Mytilus galloprovincialis (Mediterranean mussel)
Lineage: Eukaryota; Metazoa; Mollusca; Bivalvia; Mytilida; Mytilidae
Source: RNAcentral
UAAUAAUAUAUCAGCUUUACUAAAUUCGACAAUAACACAUUGCUUUAGUUGGUAGGUUUGCUCAUUACACGUUUUAGUGGACCACAACGCUUCAAACGACAACAAAAUUUGAUUAUGGAAAAUUGCUUGCAACAGAUGUACAAUGUAUUAAGGAUCGUCUUUGCUAAAUCUAUAUGUACAGUUUUUGUUGUCUUCAUUCUUUGAGUUUUUUUAUAUCAGUUUACGAGUUGAUGUACCGUCAUUAAGUGUUUGUAUCUCACUCGUGUCUUCCAUUUCUUGUCUUCAUACGUUUUUCCUCUUUUUUAAUGCACUUUCAAUGGGGAUUUUUUUACCGCACUUUCUAAAUGGUGAAUUUGAAAUCAUCCAUUCGUAAAUUUUACCAUACGCUAUCACGAGUUGGUUGACCGUUAUGGAAUAACCUAUUCGCAGAUGAUAUCGGAUAUGUUCGUUAUGUCGUAACUACAAUACCCUUUCCUUUUUCACGAAUGUGACCUACCGAAUUAGACUAUUUACGGGAUUUGUAAUAACAUAAGCAACACGACGGGUGCAACAUGUGCAGUAGAAUCUGCUUACCCUUCCGGAGCACCUGAGAUCACCCCAAAUGUUUGGGAGGGUCGUGCUGCUUAGUAUUUAGUUUUCAAUGAUGAGUGUGUCUUCUGUAUUAUUUGUCUGUUUGUCUUUUUAGUUUUAGCCAUGGCGUUGUCCGUUUAUUUUCUAUCUAUGAGUUUGACUCUCCCUCUGGUAUCUUUCGUCCAUCUUUUGAGAGCAUAAAUUGUCCUUCAAUUUUGAUAGUAUAGACUGUCUUACACAAAACAAUGAAAAAAAUAUAUAUUUAGGAUGGUCAUAUAUUUGUACAGAACUGAUCAAAAUGUG